CCUAGACUUUCUCCUCAGGAGAUCCUUUAUCCUCCUGCUGGUUUGCUGGAGAGAAGUGAGUUCUCACUCUGCUUCAUGUGUCUGGAGGGCACACACCUGUCAGACUGUCACAUCCUGCUAAGAUGUGUCCAGCCCCAUUUGUGUUACAUCUGAAGAACUCUGUGCUACUGGAAUGCCAGGAAUGACAGUGGAAAGGCUGGUGGUAAAGGUGUGAUGAGGACUGUAGUCUGUUCUACUCCAAAAGUUUCUGCCUCCCCUGUGUGAAGGAAAACCUAAAGGCUUUUCCUUUUGAAAUACAAGAAGACAUGGAUAAAAGGAAGCCCCAGCAGAAAUCCUGCAAAAAAAACCGGAUACAAAGCAUAAAUCUUGAAGGACCAAGAGAGACAUUUCUUUAGCUGGGGUUUCUCCUGUCUCUGCUUGGAGACUAUCAUGUUGCUCCUUUUAAAGCAGUGACCUUCAUCAGCUCACUACUACUGGAGAGGGCAGCACAUUUCCUUGCCCUUGGCUUGGGUUCAGACAUCCCUGUGCAGCGCCGGCCGCGCCGGGAGCGGCUCCGAGGUGCUGAGGAGCCAGAAGGGAAAGCUGCUGUCACCCUGGGAAAUGCUUGCAGGGAGAAACCAAACAGCACACAGCACAGGGACCACGUCCAGAUCCUCACAUUGGCUGUUUUAGUGCUUUGUGUUGUUCUUGACACUCCUACAGUGUUAUGAAAUCCCGAAAUAGUUCGAUCUGGCUUAAUUCAGUAUAUAGCCAAGAAAAUCAGUGUACACCAAUUGUUAAUCUGGCAGUGCUGUCUUGGUGAGAUUACAUUAGGCAGGGAAUUUAAAGCUUUAUUUUUAGGUCUAAAAUAAAAGUGCUGUGAGAAAAUGUCAUAAAUAUAAUAUCUAAAUUUUUCAAUAUGGUAAUCUUAAUGCUAUCACAGCAUCGAGACUUGAGGCUCUGCAAGUUGGUGCUUCUGCAAUUACUAAAAGUAUUUACAAAUCCCUUGU
Prinia subflava (tawny-flanked prinia) is the source of this 989-nucleotide long non-coding RNA. RefSeq lists it as uncharacterized. The transcript has 3 exons. The record is from RefSeq and is a predicted model, not a curated record. Lineage: Eukaryota; Metazoa; Chordata; Aves; Passeriformes; Cisticolidae.